This is a long non-coding RNA of Eriocheir sinensis (Chinese mitten crab), 607 nucleotides long. RefSeq lists it as uncharacterized. The transcript is spliced from 2 exons. The record is from RefSeq and is a predicted model, not a curated record. NCBI's taxonomy places the organism in Eukaryota, Metazoa, Arthropoda, Malacostraca, Decapoda, Varunidae.
CCCACCCCCCAAAAAAAGGGUAGAUAAUUAAAAAAAAAUGUUUGAAAAUAAUAUUAUGGUUGUCUUGUAUAUCCCGAACACAACAGAUUUUUUCACUGUGUUGUUUCAGUCUCCCUAAUGCUCAUAUAUAAUCAAGUGAGAGUCUGUGUGGUCAUAUAACUCGCCAGCCGUCUAUAAUUAUCCAGUCCUACAUACUUAACCAUAUAUAAUUAACUACUCAUACAUAAUUAACCAUAUAUAAUUAACCAUUCAUAUAUAAUUAGGUAACCAUUUUCUAUUUGUUUUCAUACAGUAGAGGAAACAGUUUAGGGUCAAAAAAAAAAAAAAAAAAAGGAAACUGAUGAAAUAAAAGCUAUAUCACUCAUACAUAAUUAACCAUAUCUAAUUAACCAGUCAUAUAUAAUUAGGUAACCAUUUUCUAUUUGUUUUCAUACAGUAGAGGAAACAGUUCAGGGGCAAAAAAAAAAAAAGGAAACUGAUGAAAUAAAAGCUAUAUCACUCAUACAUAAUUAACCAUAUCUAAUUAACCAGUCAUAUAUAAUUAGGUAACCAUUUUCUAUUUGUUUUCAUACAGUAGAGGAAACGGAAUGUCCAAAAAAAAAGGAAA